GACGAACGCUGGCGGCGUGCCUAACACAUGCAAGUCGAGCGAGUGAAUCUCCUUCGGGAGUGAAGCUAGCGGCGAACGGGUGAGUAGCACGUGGGCAACCUGUCCUCUCGUGGGGGAUAACACCGAGAAAUCGGUGCUAAUACCGCAUGUCCUCGUCGGAGGCAUCUUCGACGAACAAAGCAGCAAUGCGCGAGGGGGUGGGCCCGCGGCCUAUCAGCUUGUCGGUGGGGUAACGGCUCACCGAGGCUUUGACGGGUAGCUGGUCUGAGAGGACGACCAGCCACACGGGGACUGAGACACGGCCCCGACUCCUACGGGAGGCAGCAGUAAGGAAUCUUCCGCAAUGGGCGAAAGCCUGACGGAGCGACGCCGCGUGUGGGAUGAAGUCUCUCGGGAUGUAAACCACUGUCGGAGGGGAAGAGAACGGACGGUACCCUCCAAGAAAGCCCCGGCUAACUACGUGCCAGCCGCCGCAGUAA
Molecule: ribosomal RNA, 479 nt
Filed under: uncultured bacterium
Lineage: Bacteria
Description: partial 16S ribosomal RNA
Rfam family: Bacterial small subunit ribosomal RNA
Source: RNAcentral